RNAcentral lists this ribosomal RNA (495 nucleotides) under uncultured bacterium. Its description in RNAcentral is "partial 16S ribosomal RNA". It matches the Rfam family "Bacterial small subunit ribosomal RNA", at positions 30 to 507 of the family's 1533-position model. The record is from RNAcentral.
UGAACGCUGGCGGCGUGCCUAAUACAUGCAAGUCGAGCGAACAGAUGAGGAGCUUGCUCCUCUGACGUUAGCGGCGGACGGGUGAGUAACACGUGGAUAACCUACCUAUAAGACUGGGAUAACUUCGGGAAACCGGAGCUAAUACCGGAUAAUAUAUUGAACCGCAUGGUUCAAUAGUGAAAGACGGUUUUGCUGUCACUUAUAGAUGGAUCCGCGCCGCAUUAGCUAGUUGGUAAGGUAACGGCUUACCAAGACAACGAUGCGUAGCCGACCUGAGAGGGUGAUCGGCCACACUGGAACUGAGACACGGUCCAGACUCCUACGGGAGGCAGCAGUAGGGAAUCUUCCGCAAUGGGCGAAAGCCUGACGGAGCAACGCCGCGUGAGUGAUGAAGGUCUUCGGAUCGUAAAACUCUGUUAUUAGGGAAGAACAAAUGUGUAAGUAACUAUGCACGUCUUGACGGUACCUAAUCAGAAAGCCACGGCUAACUACGUG